RNAcentral lists this ribosomal RNA (207 nucleotides) under uncultured bacterium. Its description in RNAcentral is "partial 16S ribosomal RNA". It matches the Rfam family "Bacterial small subunit ribosomal RNA", at positions 568 to 774 of the family's 1533-position model. The record is from RNAcentral.
CUCGUAGGCGGCCAACUAAGUCAGACGUGAAAUCCCUCGGCUUAACCGGGGAACUGCGUCUGAUACUGGAUGGCUUGAGUUUGGGAGAGGGAUGCGGAAUUCCAGGUGUAGCGGUGAAAUGCGUAGAUAUCUGGAGGAACACCGGUGGCGAAGGCGGCAUCCUGGACCAACACUGACGCUGAUGAGCGAAAGCCAGGGGAGCAAACG